UACGAAGGGUGCAAACGUUGCUCGGAAUCAUUGGGCGUAAAGCGCACGUAGGCGGCCUCAUAAGUCGGAUGUGAAAGCCCUCGGCUUAACCGAGGAAGUGCAUUCGAAACUGACGGUCUUGAGUAUGGAAGAGGGUCGCGGAAUUCCCGGUGUAGAGGUGAAAUUCGUAGAUAUCGGGAGGAACACCAGUGGCGAAGGCGGCGACCUGGGCCAAUACUGACGCUGAGGUGCGAAAGCGUGGGGAGCAAACAGG
RNAcentral lists this ribosomal RNA (253 nucleotides) under uncultured bacterium. RNAcentral describes it as "partial 16S ribosomal RNA". It matches the Rfam family "Bacterial small subunit ribosomal RNA", at positions 524 to 776 of the family's 1533-position model. The record is from RNAcentral.